Molecule: long non-coding RNA, 357 nt
Filed under: Populus tremula
Lineage: Eukaryota; Viridiplantae; Streptophyta; Magnoliopsida; Malpighiales; Salicaceae
Description: long non-coding RNA (PTRE_LNC000613)
Source: RNAcentral
UUUACCAUGAUGUUUUUGGGGAUUUCAAAAAGUCAUGUGCUUGUUUCAAAUUCCAGCGGAAAAAAAACAGUUUGGAGCUUUUGAAAAACUUCAACAUCAAUCACGCACUCCAACUCGCGAUGGUAAAUAUGGUGGCUUUAUUCAGACAUGGAGUAAGCAGUAUUUUGAAGAGUUGAACAAAAACCGCUCCAGAGUAUCCCAACCCAAAAUAGUCUCGGGACAAACUCCUGGUCCUUUCUCUAAAGGCAUGCCCAGUGCUUUUCUUCCACUAAAGCAAUGUCAACCUGUUAACAGUAUUUCCAGGGAUGAGCAAAAUGAACAGGUAGACAUUGAAUGUCAAAACAAGGAGCAAAGCAC